GCGUUUAAAAAAAAAUCUGAGAGCUCUCCCUUUCUCUCGGUUUUUCCCACAUCCGGCCUGGGUACCGGCGAGCCUCCGCUAUGGCUCCGCUUUGACUCCGCCUAGCCGGAAAAUAAAAAAUGCUUUUAGUCCCUUUUUUUUAAUUAUUUUUUAAAACCCAGAUCUAAACCGAAUAUUUUUUUUUGAAAUCGAAAAAAUAAAAAAGAAAAAGAAAAUGCGAAGGAAAAAUUUCAGCCUCGCUGCGUUCAUCCGACCCUCGUCGGAACCCAAAUGGGUUCUGAGAUAUUCAGGGUGCUGAAAGUGGUCCUUGACGAUGGCAAAAGGUGGAACGACAAGUAUUGGCGCGCGGUUAGCAGCGACAAAAGAGGCCUGCGCUGGCCAUUUUGGUGAAACAGCGACCAAGGCGUGUCAGGCCUCGGGACGAGGAGCUCUAAUGUGGCAGUGAGGCAAAUGGGAUUAGGAUUUUUAGUUUUACUGAAAUCGUUGAAGUGUUUUGGGCCACUGGGUCUCUUUUUCAUUUGGGCUUGUAAUGUUUUUUGUUUUGGCCUCUAAUUUAUUUUUUUUUGCUUAUUUGUAAAUUGGUACAAUGAGUUAUUAAAUACAUUGAAAUUUUGUAGAAA
Long non-coding RNA from Gossypium raimondii (Peruvian cotton), 620 nucleotides. RefSeq lists it as uncharacterized. The record is from RefSeq and is a predicted model, not a curated record. The transcript is spliced from 2 exons. NCBI's taxonomy places the organism in Eukaryota, Viridiplantae, Streptophyta, Magnoliopsida, Malvales, Malvaceae.